UAGGGAAUCUUCCGCAAUGGGCGAAAGCCUGACGGAGCAACGCCGCGUGAGUGAUGAAGGUCUUCGGAUCGUAAAACUCUGUUAUUAGGGAAGAACAAAUGUGUAAGUAACUAUGCACGUCUUGACGGUACCUAAUCAGAAAGCCACGGCUAACUACGUGCCAGCAGCCGCGGUAAUACGUAGGUGGCAAGCGUUAUCCGGAAUUAUUGGGCGUAAAGCGCGCGUAGGCGGUUUUUUAAGUCUGAUGUGAAAGCCCACGGCUCAACCGUGGAGGGUCAUUGGAAACUGGUAAACUUGAGUGCAGAAGAGGAAAGUGGAAUUCCAUGUGUAGCGGUGAAAUGCGCAGAGAUCUGGAGGAACACCAGUGGCGAAGGCGACUUUCUGGUCUGUAACUGACGCUGAUGUGCGAAAGCGUGGGGAUCAAACAGG
Molecule: ribosomal RNA, 429 nt
Filed under: Actinomycetes bacterium
Lineage: Bacteria; Bacillati; Actinomycetota; Actinomycetes
Description: Actinobacteria bacterium partial 16S ribosomal RNA
Rfam family: Bacterial small subunit ribosomal RNA
Source: RNAcentral